CACUAGGAUUCCCUUAGUAACGGCGAGUGAAGAGGGAAGAGCCCAGCACCGAAGCCUGCGACAGUUUUGUUGCUAGGCAAUGUGGUGUUUGGGUCGGCUAGUGGGACUGCCACCGCACUCGAAGUCCAGCAUUGAGUAUGGUUUCUUGGACUUGGCCCAGAGAGGGUGAAAGGCCCGUACGAGUGCAGGUUUCAGACAUGUAAGGCAGUUCACCAGGCCGGCCUUAGAGUCGGGUUGUUUGAGAAUGCAGCCCAAAGUGGGUGGUAAACUCCAUCCAAGGCUAAAUACAAGCACGAGUCCGAUAGCGAACAAGUACCGUGAGGGAAAGUUGAAAAGUACUUUGAAGAGAGAGUAAACAGUACGUGAAACCGCAUAGAGGUAAACGGGUGGCGUCAAGCUGCAAGCCCGGAGGAUUCAGUCAGUCAGGAUUGUGUAUGUGCCUGUGGCAUCGAUCAGUCGGAGUAAGAUAGAGUAGUCUGCCGGGUGACGGCAGGCCCAGUCGUAAGGCUGGGAUUUGUGUACCGGGAUGUGACCGGAGCAAGCUAUUCGUCUAGAGGACUGCCUGGCUGAUGCACUUCCUCUGUACGGUGAACACCACGACCAGUGGUACUGCCAGUCUGCCAUUGCCAAGUCGUGUUGGGUCGGCAUCUGAUGUCGGCUCAGCAUUGAUCACAAGCAAAUUCAGUGGACGGUGUAGGGGUGCCCUAAACACUCUUGCACGCUAUCGUACGCUGGUUGUUAUCGGGUGUGCCUAUUGAUUGCUGUAAUCGUCAGUGGGUGACCUGGUGGGCUAUGGUGGUAUGAAUAACUGUGCAGGGCACUGGAGUUAUCGGUCUCUAGUCUCGCUUGCGCACGCUUUACAGGCGGUUUCGGAGGCAUUGUUACAGCCUGCCGGUGUUUGGGUUUGAUUGUCGUGUCACCUGCACAAGUAGGUCCGGCAGUAGCCUGAGCUCGGUUGGAGUUGUUGACGGUGUCUUCUGUGCGAGUGAGCGUGGGCCUAACAGUCUGUGGUGCAGUGGUAGACGAGCUACCCGACCCGUCUUGAAACACGGACCAAGGAGUUUAACAUGCACGCGAGUCAAAGGGUCCUACGAAACCCAAAGGCGCAGUGAAAGUGAAGCCUCGACUUGUUCGAGGUGUGGUGAGAUCCUGCUGUUUCUCGCAUACCUGUACUUGUGCAUUUUGUGUCAGCACCAGGUUUAGAGCAGUAGGCGCAUCACCGGCCCGUCUCAUGAUGUGGUCGUUGGUUGACUUUUUUCUGUACACCUCGGUGGGCAGUUGGAGUUGCUAGCGCGUCAUCGGGGCGGAGC
RNAcentral lists this ribosomal RNA (1310 nucleotides) under Didymobothrium rudolphii. RNAcentral's name for it is "LSU rRNA". It matches the Rfam family "Eukaryotic large subunit ribosomal RNA", at positions 67 to 795 of the family's 3401-position model. The record is from RNAcentral. Lineage: Eukaryota; Metazoa; Platyhelminthes; Cestoda; Spathebothriidea; Acrobothriidae.